Molecule: ribosomal RNA, 505 nt
Filed under: uncultured bacterium
Lineage: Bacteria
Description: partial 16S ribosomal RNA
Rfam family: Bacterial small subunit ribosomal RNA
Source: RNAcentral
GACGAACGCUGGCGGCGUGCCUAAUACAUGCAAGUAGAACGCACAGUUUAUACCGUAGCUUGCUACACCAUAGACUGUGAGUUGCGAACGGGUGAGUAACGCGUAGGUAACCUGCCUGGUAGCGGGGGAUAACUAUUGGAAACGAUAGCUAAUACCGCAUAAUAUUGAUUAUUGCAUGAUAAUUGAUUGAAAGAUGCUAUUGCAUCACUACCAGAUGGACCUGCGUUGUAUUAGCUAGUAGGUGAGGUAACGGCUCACCUAGGCGACGAUACAUAGCCGACCGGCGAAGGUGGUCGGCCGCCCUGGGAGGGGGACACGGCCCAGACGGCUACGGGAGGCAGCCGUAGGGAAUCUUCGGCAAUGGGCGAAAGUCUGACCGAACAACGCCGAGGGAGUGAAGAAGGUUUUCGGAUCGUAAAGCUCUGUUGUAAGAGAAGAACGGGUGUGAGAGUGGAAAGUUCACACUGUGACGGUAUCUGACCAGAAAGGGACGGCUAACUACGUG